CCUACGGGGGGCAGCAGUGGGGAAUAUUGCGCAAUGGGCGAAAGCCUGACGCAGCGACGCCGCGUGAGGGAUGAAGGUCUUCGGAUCGUAAACCUCUGUCAGCAGGGCAGAACGGUCACUGUGCUAAUCAGCAGUGAAUUGACGGUACCUGCAAAGGAAGCACCGGCUACCUCCGUGCCAGCAGCCGCGGUAAUACGGAGGGUGCGAGCGUUAAUCGGAAUUACUGGGCGUAAAGCGCUCGUAGGCGGUAUGUCAAGUCAAGGGUGAAAUCCCCGCGCUCAACGUGGGAACUGCAUUUGAAACUGGCAAACUGGAGUGUGUGAGAGGAUAGUGGAAUUCCAGGUGUAGGAGUGAAAGCCGUAUAUAUCUGGAGGAACAUCAGUGGCGAAGGCGACUAUCUGGCACAUAACUGACGCUGAGGAGCGAAAGCGUGGGUAGCAAACAGGAUGAGAUACCCCGGUAGUC
Molecule: ribosomal RNA, 465 nt
Filed under: uncultured bacterium
Lineage: Bacteria
Description: partial 16S ribosomal RNA
Rfam family: Bacterial small subunit ribosomal RNA
Source: RNAcentral